RNAcentral lists this ribosomal RNA (335 nucleotides) under uncultured eukaryote. Its description in RNAcentral is "partial 18S ribosomal RNA". It matches the Rfam family "Eukaryotic small subunit ribosomal RNA", at positions 1470 to 1796 of the family's 1831-position model. The record is from RNAcentral.
CCCUUAGAUGUCCGGGGCCGCACGCGCGCUACACUGUAGAUCGCAGCGAGUGUCGUACCUGUCCCUCCCGUAGCCGGGUGGGUAAACCAUUGAAAGAUCGAACGUGGCUUGGGAUCGGGCCUUGAAAUUAUUGCCCGUGAACGAGGAAUUCCCAGUAAGCGCGAGUCAUAAGCUGGCGUUGAUUACGUCCCUGCCCUUUGUACACACCGCCCGUCGCUACUACCGAUUGGGUGUGCUGGUGAAAUGUUCGGAUCGGCCGUUUGUCGCGGUUUCCGCGUCAUGUGGCUGAGAAGUUCAUUAAACCCUCCCACCUAGAGGAAGGAGAAGUCGUAACA